RNAcentral lists this long non-coding RNA (1777 nucleotides) under Ananas comosus (pineapple). RNAcentral's name for it is "long non-coding RNA (ACOM_LNC029533)". Lineage: Eukaryota; Viridiplantae; Streptophyta; Magnoliopsida; Poales; Bromeliaceae. The record is from RNAcentral.
AUCUUGUCACAUCAUUCUUGUUAGAAAUUACACUUAUACCAUAUUUUCUCCAACACCAAUUUGUUAUAACAAAAGCAAAAAAGAUCUAGUUCGAUGGGUGUAAAAAUACCAAAUGAGAAUCGAGAAAGAGAGAAGAAAAAUAAAGCACACAAAUAUCUACGUGGUUCCGCCACUAGCCUAUAUCCACGAUGGAAGACGCUGUGAAGAUUUUCAUUAUUAUCAAAAUAAUGUACACAAUAUGUCUCUCUCACGAAACCCUAAUAUUAAAUAAUAUACUCAUAUUUCUCCUUACCUACCACACCAAAUUAAUGGAAUAAAGGAUAUAUAUAUUUACAAUAGUGGCUAAAUCCUAACAUAAUUAGGAAUACAAACCUAUUAAAACUAGAAAUAAUCUCAAUUAGAUUAGGCAUAAUCUAAACUUAACUUAAUAGGAUAACCAAAAUUGAAGAGUUAGAAAACUUUGUAGCUUCAGAAUUUGAGACAUAUCUAAUAAUCUCCUCUUUAACUUGAAUUAAUUCUAUGUCUUCUCCACCAAAACCCCAAAAGCUCCUGAAGUGUUGUGCAUGUGCGAACCAAGUUUAUGGAAUACUUGAACUUGAUCACCGAAAAAACCUUAAUAAACAAAUCCACAAAAUUCUCUAAAGUGUGAAUCUUCUUUUUCUCUAGAUAUGCCUUUCGCAACUCUAUUGCAUCAAAACGACAACUUGUCAUAGAGAGAAACUUCUAAGGCAAUCAAACUUCUCGACCUCAAACUUCGUUGACGUCUUAAACACCCAAACAAACAAUCUGGCUCUAAUACCAAUUUGUUAGAAAUCCACCACUUAUAUUGAUACCAUAUUUUCUCUGAUACCAAUUUCUUAUAACAAAAGCAAAAAAAAUCUAGUUCGUCAGGCGCAAAAAUACCAAAAGAGUAAUGAGGAAGAGAGAAGAAAAAUAAAACAAAUAAAUAUUUAGGGUUAAUUUCAUACAGGUCCCUGUAAAUAUAGUAAAUUAUAAAUAUAUCUCUACAAAGUUCAACUUUUAUAUAUUGUCGCUGCAAAAGUCCUAAUAUUUUCCAAUAUGUCCCUGUCGUUAGAAUCCAUUAGAAAACUUUAGUUAACCAUAGGUUAAAUACUUAAUCCUGGUUAGUUUAUGAGAUAACUUGACAUUUAUGCCUCUCUUAUAUUAUAUUGUUACAACUUUUGGAGGGACAUAUUUGUGAUGGCAAAAUUGACAUUUCAUUUAAAAUAUAAACAGUUCUAUGGUAACAAAUCAAAGGGAUAAAUUUGAAAAUAUUAGAACUUUUGUAAGGAUAACAUAUAAAAGUUGAACUUUGAAGGGAUAUAUUUGCAAUUCACUAUGUUUGUAGGGACCUAUAUGCGUUUAAUCCAAAUAUUUAUAUGGUUCGGCCACUGACCUACAUUCACGGACGAAGAUGCAGUGAAGAUUUUCAUUAUAAUCAAAGUGUUGUACAAAAUUUGCCUCUCUUACAAAACUCUGGUCCCAAAAAUUAUAUCGAUACUCCUCAUCCGCACCAAAUUAAUGGAAUAAAGGAUAUAUUUAUAAUAGUAACUAAAUUCUAAUAUAAUUAGAAAUAAAAGUCCACUAAAACUAUGAAUAAUCUCACUUAGAUUAAGCAUAAUCUAAACUUAACUUAAUGGAUAAAUAAAACUGAAUAAGGUUACAAAACCUUGCUGUUCCAGAAUCCUAAACAUAUCUAACAAUUCUUAAUGUCAAGAACAAACAUCCUUGUUUUCGACAUCUCAACUUGAACAAUUAAAUCAUUAAAAUUAUUUUU